UACGGAGGGUGCAAGCGUUAUCCGUAUUUACUGGGCUUAAAGGGUGCGUAGGUGGACAGGAAAGUCAGUGGUGAAAUCUUCGAGCUUAACUCGGAAACUGCCUUUGAUACUAUUUGUCUUGAGUACUUUGGAGGUAAGCGGAAUAUGUCAUGUAGCGGUGAAAUGCUUAGAUAUGACAUAGAACACCAAUUGCGAAGGCAGCUUACUGGACAGUUAUUGACGCUGAGGCACGAAAGCGUGGGGAUCAAACAGG
This 253-nucleotide ribosomal RNA is filed under the name uncultured bacterium. Its description in RNAcentral is "partial 16S ribosomal RNA". It matches the Rfam family "Bacterial small subunit ribosomal RNA", at positions 524 to 776 of the family's 1533-position model. The record is from RNAcentral.